GACGAACGCUGGCGGCGUGCUUAACACAUGCAAGUCGAACGGAAAGGCCCUGCUUUUGUGGGGUGCUCGAGUGGCGAACGGGUGAGUAACACGUGAGUAACCUGCCCUUGACUUUGGGAUAACUUCAGGAAACUGGGGCUAAUACCGGAUAGGAGCUCCUGCUGCAUGGUGGGGGUUGGAAAGUUUCGGCGGUUGGGGAUGGGCUCGCGGCUUAUCAGCUUGUUGGUGGGGUAGUGGCUUACCAAGGCUUUGACGGGUAGCCGGCCUGAGAGGGUGACCGGCCACAUUGGGGCUGAGAUACGGCCCAGACUCCUACGGGAGGCAGCAGUGGGGAAUAUUGCACAAUGGGCGGAAGCCUGAUGCAGCAACGCCGCGUGCGGGAUGACGGCCUUCGGGUUGUAAACCGCUUUCGCCUGUGACGAAGCGUGAGUGACGGUAAUGGGUAAAGAAGCACCGGCUAACUACGUG
RNAcentral lists this ribosomal RNA (468 nucleotides) under uncultured bacterium. RNAcentral describes it as "partial 16S ribosomal RNA". It matches the Rfam family "Bacterial small subunit ribosomal RNA", at positions 28 to 507 of the family's 1533-position model. The record is from RNAcentral.